GAUGAACGCUGGCGGUGUGCCUAAUACAUGCAAGUCGAGCGAACAGACGAGGAGCUUGCUCCUUUGACGUUAGCGGCGGACGGGUGAGUAACACGUGGGUAACCUACCUAUAAGACUGGGAUAACUUCGGGAAACCGGAGCUAAUACCGGAUAAUAUUUCGAACCGCAUGGUUCGAUAGUGAAAGAUGGCCUUGCUAUCACUUAUAGAUGGACCUGCGCCGUAUUAGCUAGUUGGUAAGGUAACGGCUUACCAAGGCAACGAUACGUAGCCGACCUGAGAGGGUGAUCGGCCACACUGGAACUGAGACACGGUCCAGACUCCUACGGGAGGCAGCAGUAGGGAAUCUUCCGCAAUGGGCGAAAGCCUGACGGAGCAACGCCGCGUGAGUGAUGAAGGUCUUCGGAUCGUAAAACUCUGUUAUUAGGGAAGAACAAACGUGUAAGUAACUGUGCACGUCUUGACGGUACCUAAUCAGAAAGCCACGGCUAACUACGUG
Molecule: ribosomal RNA, 497 nt
Filed under: uncultured bacterium
Lineage: Bacteria
Description: partial 16S ribosomal RNA
Rfam family: Bacterial small subunit ribosomal RNA
Source: RNAcentral